AGAGGAUGAACGGCCACAUUGGGACUGAGACACGGCCCAAACUCCUACGGGAGGCAGCAGUGGGGAAUCUUCCGCAAUGGACGAAAGUCUGACGGAGCAACGCCGCGUGAGUGAUGAAGGAUUUCGGUCUGUAAAGCUCUGUUGUUUAUGACGAAGUGCAGUGUGUGAACAAUGCAUUGCAAUGACGGUAGUAAACGAGGAAGCCACGGCUAACUACGUGCCAGCAGCCGCGGUAAUACGUAGGUGGCGAGCGUUGUCCGGAAUUAUUGGGCGUAAAGAGCAUGUAGGCGGCUUAAUAAGUCGAGCGUGAAAAUGCGGGGCUCAACCCCGUAUGGCGCUGGAAACUGUUAGGCUUGAGUGCAGGAGAGGAAAGGGGAAUUCCCAGUGUAGCGGUGAAAUGCGUAGAUAUUGGGAGGAA
RNAcentral lists this ribosomal RNA (418 nucleotides) under uncultured bacterium. Its description in RNAcentral is "bacterial SSU rRNA". It matches the Rfam family "Bacterial small subunit ribosomal RNA", at positions 295 to 706 of the family's 1533-position model. The record is from RNAcentral.